RNAcentral lists this unclassified non-coding RNA (456 nucleotides) under Bombus terrestris (buff-tailed bumblebee). RNAcentral describes it as "misc RNA ENSBTSG00005027835.1". The record is from RNAcentral. Lineage: Eukaryota; Metazoa; Arthropoda; Insecta; Hymenoptera; Apidae.
CCAGAUCUCUGAUAAGCACACGUUGCCGUGUUAUCGCGAUAAACGCCGGAGUUCAAGUACGGAUCCGGCUGGUCGUACGAUCAUAACCUCGAACAACGCCAUCGUCUACACGCGUGUGCUUCCCUCGCGAGUAGGUACAUACAUAUCUGAAUGAACCAGAGGAAACGAAAGGAACAGAGAGAAAAGAAGAAAAUUGAAGGACAAAAGCGGAAUUGUGGAACUGCUAGCUCGAAUAUCUCUGUUAUUUCGUCCGUUAACUAAGUUUAACUUAUGCGUAUAAUUGGAUUAAUAUGACUCGAGAAACUGUACGAGUUACGAAUUACAAGUUACAUUUCUUUAUUGAUUAGUAACGAUAAAAGGUUUAGUAACAAAACAAAUGAAAUUCUACGAGGAAAUUUUAUUUCGACGACUUAAAGUAUUUUAUGCAAAUUAUAAUUAAUUAAUUUCUCCAUUUAG